UACGUAGGGUGCAAGCGUUGCCCGGAUUUAUUGGGCGUAAAGGGCGCGUAGGCGGCUCUGCACGUCCGUUGUGAAAUCGCCCGGCUCAACUGGGCGGGGUCAGCGGAUACGGCAGAGCUUGAGCAAGCUAGGGGGGCAAUGGAAUUCCCGGUGUAGUGGUGGAAUGCGUAGAUAUCGGAAGGAACACCUGUGGCGAAAGCGGCUCACUGGACCAUUACUGACGCUGAGGCACGAAAGCUAGGGGAGCAAACAGG
This 254-nucleotide ribosomal RNA is filed under the name uncultured bacterium. RNAcentral's name for it is "partial 16S ribosomal RNA". It matches the Rfam family "Bacterial small subunit ribosomal RNA", at positions 524 to 776 of the family's 1533-position model. The record is from RNAcentral.